This 440-nucleotide ribosomal RNA is filed under the name uncultured bacterium. Its description in RNAcentral is "partial 16S ribosomal RNA". It matches the Rfam family "Bacterial small subunit ribosomal RNA", at positions 338 to 795 of the family's 1533-position model. The record is from RNAcentral.
CCUACGGGAGGCUGCAGUAGGGAAUAUUGCUCAAUGGGGGAAACCCUGAAGCAGCAACGCCGCGUGGAGGAUGAAGGUUUUCGGAUCGUAAACUCCUUUUGUUAGAGAAGAUAAUGACGGUAUCUAACGAAUAAGCACCGGCUAACUCCGUGCCAGCAGCCGCGGUAAUACGGAGGGUGCAAGCGUUACUCGGAAUCACUGGGCGUAAAGAGCGCGUAGGCGGGAUAGCAAGUCAGAUGUGAAAUCCUAUGGCUUAACCAUAGAACUGCAUUUGAAACUGUUAUUCUAGAGUAUGGGAGAGGUAGGUGGAAUUCUUGGGGUAGGGGUAAAAUCCGUAGAGAUCAAGAGGAAUACUCAUUGCGAAGGCGACCUGCUAGAACAUAACUGACGCUGAUGCGCGAAAGCGUGGGGAGCAAACAGGAUUAGAUACCCGAGUAGUC